CUCUAUACGGAGUUACAAAAGAAAGUUAUAAAUGAAGCGGUCUGGAAAGGCCCGCCAAAGACGGUAACAGCCCGGUAGUUGAAAUGGCUUUCCCUCCAGAGUGGAUCCUGAGUACGGCGGAACACGUGAAAUUCCGUCGGAAUCCGGGAGGACCAUCUCCCAAGGCUAAAUACUCCCUAGUGACCGAUAGUGAACCAGUACCGUGAGGGAAAGGUGAAAAGCACCCCGGAAGGGGAGUGAAACAGUUCCUGAAACCGUGUGCCUACAAGUAGUUAGAGCCCGUUAAUGGGUGAUAGCGUGCCUUUUGUAGAAUGAACCGGCGAGUUACGAUUUGUUGCAAGGUUAAGCGGAAAAAGCGGAGCCGUAGCGAAAGCGAGUCUGAAUAGGGCGCAUAAGUAACAGGUCGUAGACCCGAAACCAGGUGAUCUACCCAUGUCCAGGAUGAAGGUAAGGUAAUACUUACUGGAGGUCCGAACCCACGCACGUUGAAAAGUGCGGGGAUGAGGUGUGGGUAGCGGAGAAAUUCCAAUCGAACUUGGAGAUAGCUGGUUCUCUCCGAAAUAGCUUUAGGGCUAGCCUCGAGGUAAAGAGUCAUGGAGGUAGAGCACUGUUUGGACUAGGGGCCCUUCUCGGGUUACCGAAUUCAGAUAAACUCCGAAUGCCAUGUACUUAUACUCGGGAGUCAGACUGCGAGUGAUAAGAUCCGUAGUCGAAAGGGAAACAGCCCAGACCACCAGUUAAGGUCCCCAAAUAUAUGUUAAGUGGAAAAGGAUGUGGGGUUGCUUAGACAACCAGGAUGUUGGCUUAGAAGCAGCCACCAUUGAAAGAGUGCGUAAUAGCUCACUGGUCGAGUGACCCCGCGCCGAAAAUGUACCGGGGCUAAACAUAUUACCGAAACUGUGGAUGAACCUCUUUAGAGGUUCGUGGUAGGAGAGCGUUCUAAGGGCGGUGAAGUCAGACCGGAAGGACUGGUGGAGCGCUUAGAAGUGAGAAUGCCGGUAUGAGUAGCGAAAGAAGGGUGAGAAUCCCUUCCACCGAAUAUCUAAGGUUUCCUGAGGAAGGCUCGUCCGCUCAGGGUUAGUCGGGACCUAAGCCGAGGCCGAUAGGCGUAGGCGAUGGACAACAGGUAGAGAUUCCUGUACCAGUGCUAAUUGUUUAACCGAUGGGGUGACACAGAAGGAUAGGGAAUCGCACGAAUGGAAAUGUGCGUCCAAGCAGUGAGUGUGAGAAGUAGGCAAAUCCGCUUCUCGCGAAGCAUGAGCUGUGAUGGGGAAGGAAAUUAAGUACGGAAGUUCCUGAUUUCACGCUGUCAAGAAAAGCCUCUAGGAAGAGUAGUACUGCCCGUACCGCAAACCGACACAGGUAGAUGAGGAGAGAAUCCUAAGGUGAGCGAGAGAACUCUCGUUAAGGAACUCGGCAAAAUGACCCCGUAACUUCGGGAGAAGGGGUGCUCUAUUAGGGUGCAAGCCCGAGAGAGCCGCAGUGAAUAGGCCCAGGCGACUGUUUAGCAAAAACACAGGUCUCUGCAAAACCGUAAGGUGACGUAUAGGGGCUGACGCCUGCCCGGUGCUGGAAGGUUAAGAGGAGUGCUUAGCUUCGGCGAAGGUACGAAUUGAAGCCCCAGUAAACGGCGGCCGUAACUAUAACGGUCCUAAGGUAGCGAAAUUCCUUGUCGGGUAAGUUCCGACCCGCACGAAAGGCGCAACGAUCUGGGCACUGUCUCAACGAGAGACUCGGUGAAAUUAUAGUACCUGUGAAGAUGCAGGUUACCCGCGACAGGACGGAAAGACCCCGUGGAGCUUUACUGCAACCUGAUAUGGAAUGUUUGUACCGCUUGUACAGGAUAGGUAGGAGCCGAAGAGACGUGUGCGCUAGCAUACGAGGAGGCAAUGGUGGGAUACUACCCUGGCUGUAUGACCAUUCUAACCCGCCACGCUUAGCGCGUGGGGAGACAGUGUCAGGUGGGCAGUUUGACUGGGGCGGUCGCCUCCUAAAGAGUAACGGAGGCGCCCAAAGGUUCCCUCAGAAUGGAUGGAAAUCAUUCGCAGAGUGUAAAGGCACAAGGGAGCUUGACUGCGAGACUGACAAGUCGAGCAGGGACGAAAGUCGGGCUUAGUGAUCCGGUGGUUCCGCAUGGAAGGGCCAUCGCUCAACGGAUAAAAGCUACCCCGGGGAUAACAGGCUUAUCUCCCCCAAGAGUCCACAUCGACGGGGAGGUUUGGCACCUCGAUGUCGGCUCGUCGCAUCCUGGGGCUGUAGUCGGUCCCAAGGGUUGGGCUGUUCGCCCAUUAAAGCGGCACGCGAGCUGGGUUCAGAACGUCGUGAGACAGUUCGGUCCCUAUCCGUCGCGGGCGCAGGAAAUUUGAGAGGAGCUGUCCUUAGUACGAGAGGACCGGGAUGGACACACCGCUGGUGUACCAGUUGUUCCGCCAGGAGCAUCGCUGGGUAGCUAUGUGUGGCAGGGAUAAACGCUGAAAGCAUCUAAGCGUGAAGCCCCCCUCAAGAUGAGAUUUCCCAUUUCUUCGGAAAGUAAGAUCCCUGAAAGAUGAUCAGGUAGAUAGGU
This 2563-nucleotide ribosomal RNA is filed under the name Listeria monocytogenes. RNAcentral's name for it is "partial 23S ribosomal RNA". It matches the Rfam family "Bacterial large subunit ribosomal RNA", at positions 308 to 2861 of the family's 2925-position model. The record is from RNAcentral. Lineage: Bacteria; Bacillati; Bacillota; Bacilli; Caryophanales; Listeriaceae.